GAUGAACGCUGGCGGCGUGCCUAAUACAUGCAAGUCGAGCGAACAGAUGAGGAGCUUGCUCCUCUGACGUUAGCGGCGGACGGGUGAGUAACACGUGGAUAACCUACCUAUAAGACUGGGAUAACUUCGGGAAACCGGAGCUAAUACCGGAUAAUAUAUUGAACCGCAUGGUUCAAUAGUGAAAGACGGUUUUGCUGUCACUUAUAGAUGGAUCCGCGCCGCAUUAGCUGGUUGGGAAGGUAACGGCUUACGAAGGCAACGAUGCGUAGCCGACCUGGGGGGUGGUCCGCCCCCAUGGAAGCUGACACACGUCCCAGCCUCCUAGGGAAGGCCGAGUCGGGAAUCCUUCCCAAUUGGGGGAAACCUUGCCGAACCACCGCCCGGGGGUUGAUGAAGUUCUCCGGUCGGUAAAACCUUUUAUUAGGGAAGAACAAAUGUGUAAGUAACUAUGCACGUCUUGACGGUACCUAAUCAGAAAGCCACGGCUAACUACGUG
This 496-nucleotide ribosomal RNA is filed under the name uncultured bacterium. RNAcentral describes it as "partial 16S ribosomal RNA". It matches the Rfam family "Bacterial small subunit ribosomal RNA", at positions 28 to 507 of the family's 1533-position model. The record is from RNAcentral.